GUAUCUAUAUGUGAUUCUAUCAUUAUCUAUCUAUCUAUCUAUCUAUCUACUAUCUAUCUAUCUACUAUCUAUCUAAUGUUAUUUGAAUCAUAUUCAUCCCCUUCUCCAUAGCUCUCCUGUCCCCUUCCUACUCCUGUCUCUUCUUCCCAGAUGGUCCCAUUUCUACGUUCAUGCCUUCCCCCGUUUUGAAUGACCUAAUGAAUUUCGUUAAGUUUGCUUAUAGGAGUAAUGGCACCUUAACAAGUAACUACACCACUGAAGAAAAUGUCUUUCCUGUUCCUGAUCUACUAUUGUGCACAAAUCUUCUACUGUGCACAAAUCUUCAAGAAGUAGAGCUGGCCCUGGUAGUGUGAGUGUGAGUAGACUGGAUCUGGGGACCUGAGAGCAGGAGAACUGGCCCUGUUGCUUGUUGCAGGCUGCAUUGGUUAUUACUCAAAUCUAAGGAAUACGUACUGCGAGGAUCUUGAUGAAGGACCCUUGUGAGGGUGAAGAUGAUUUUGCCAUUGCAGAUUAGCAUGAUGAGAAGAGGGAAAAUGAAGAGGCAGCUGAAGGUGAAAAAGUUGUAAAAGGCUUGGUGCCACCACUGCGGAAAACUGCAGUGUGUGACACAUUGAGAGAAAACUUCCGCUUGCCCAGAGCCAUCUUCUAGGUAGAUCAUCCUGAAGAUAUAUAACUGUGAAAAAGCAACAAAAAAUUUGUGUCUUUUUCCAAAAGCAUUCCUUCCUUCCUUUAUGCCGAUAGUCUUCCUACCUAAAGCAAUUUCUAAAUCCCUAGGCAUUACACUUUGACAAUUGUA
Non-coding RNA from Cricetulus griseus (Chinese hamster), 796 nucleotides. The record is from RefSeq and is a predicted model, not a curated record. Lineage: Eukaryota; Metazoa; Chordata; Mammalia; Rodentia; Cricetidae.